Molecule: long non-coding RNA, 662 nt
Organism: Lolium perenne
Lineage: Eukaryota; Viridiplantae; Streptophyta; Magnoliopsida; Poales; Poaceae
Source: RefSeq, a predicted model, not a curated record
GCUAAGGUUUCUGCCAAAAUUUUCGUCCAACAUUUUUUGGACGGUUUUACCCUCCCACUAAAUCACAUAAUACUCAAAAUGCCAUGAUGCCGAUUCGUUUUUCUUUCCUCUUUGCCUCCUCUCCUUCGUAUUCCUUUUCCUCCCACAAAGCUCGUCGUCUCCACCGCACGCCCUGGCCAGAUCGAGGUGCAGCCCCGCCCUUUCCUCCUACAGAUGCAGAUCUGGUGGCAGGGUCCACGGCGCCGGCGCCCGGCGGCAGGGGGGGCAAAGACGAGGUGGGAGGAUUCGACUCGUCACUCGUGCGAGGAGACGAAGAUGAGGUGGCAGGAGUCGACGCGUGCGAGAAGGAGAGGAUGGGAUUCUACAUGGCAGCCUCAACGGCAGAUCGAGCAGGCUCUUGCAGUGCAAGCCUUCUCCUCCCUCGAUGGAGUCCGCGUGUCCUUGCGGCCGGCGCUUGGUGAGCUGUCCGAGCUGGUUAUCCUGCGAAUACACUCUGUCUGUUUUCUUUCUCUCGCCGGGAUCUGCUUCACGGUAGCUUCAGUUGUCCUGCGCUUUAUAUGCCCGCUAGAGAUGACCAAAUAUCUUGCUUUUUCUCUUUGGAUCGACUUUUGUUGAAGAUGCAAAAACAAUACAGAUUAUCCAUAUGUAAUUUCAAACACUAA